UUCUUCCCUAGUUGCCGCCUCUCUCUUCCAAGCUCUCUCUCAAACUCUUUCCUCCAUGAAAGUUUAUGUAUAAGCUUCCUAAAUAUUAAUUCCACCAUAAAUCCUUUGAUUUUCUUGAAGAAAAAUUAUAAACAAAUCUUGGAAGGAAGAUUAGAAGGAGAAGAAUUGAAGAAAAUUGAGAGGAAGUGAAGAUCAAAGACUUCACUAAAGAUAAGAGCAAGGAGAAAGCAGCAGAGUGAGCUGCUAUCGAAUUGUGGACCUCACUGAUCUUUUUGUACGGGUAUUAUUUUAUACCCUUGUAGUUAGUUUUGAUGUAAAUAUAAUAAUGUUGUAUGUAUCAAUGUAGUUGAACAGUUGUAAAUAAAUUGUAAUAAUAUUAUUUUGGAUUUUCUUCUGUAAAUUUAAUAUUGUACAUGUGAAUUUCAUGCUUAUUGCCUUGUGAAUGAAGUAUUAAAUAUUUUGAGAUAA
Molecule: long non-coding RNA, 468 nt
Organism: Hevea brasiliensis (rubber tree)
Lineage: Eukaryota; Viridiplantae; Streptophyta; Magnoliopsida; Malpighiales; Euphorbiaceae
Exons: 2
Source: RefSeq, a predicted model, not a curated record